GGUUACUGCUAUCGGGGUCCGACUAAGCCAUGCGAGUUGAGAGGGGUAAGCCCUCGGCAUACUGCUCAGUAACACGCGGAUAACCUGCCCUUGGGUUCGGGAUAACCCCGGGAAACUGGGACUAAUACCGGAUAGAUCAGAGAAACUGGAAUGUUCUCUGGUUCAAAACUCCGGUGCCCAAGGAUGGGUCUGCGGCCUAUCGGGUAGUAGUGGGUGUAACGUACCUACUAGCCAGCGACGGGUAAGGGUUGUGAGAGCAAGAUCCCUGAGAUGGAUUCUGAGACAUGAAUCCAGGCCCUACGGGGUGCAGCAGGCGCGAAAACUUUACACUGCGGGAAACCGCGAUAAGGGGACCCCGAGUGCCAGCACCUAGUGCUGGCUGUCCUACUGUCUAAAUAACAGUGGUUAGCAAGGGCCGGGCAAGACCGGUGCCAGCCGCCGCGGUAACACCGGCGGCCCGAGUGGUAACCGUUUUUAUUGGGUUUAAAGGGUCCGUAGCCGGCUUACUAAGUCUCUUGGGAAAUCUGGCGGCUCAAUCGUCAGGCGGCCAAGAGAUACUGGUAGGCUUGGGACCGGGAGAGGUGGGAGGUACUCCAGGGGUAGGGGUGAAAUCUCGUAAUCCUUGGGGGACCACCGAUGGCGAAGGCAUCCCACCAGAACGGGUCCGACGGUGAGGGACGAAAGCUGGGGGCACGAACCGGAUUAGAUACCCGGGUAGUCCCAGCUGUAAACGAUGCUCGCUAGGUGUCAGGUGCGGUGCGACCGCAUCUGGUGCCGCAGUGAAAACUUGAAGCGAGUCACCUGGGAAGUACGGUCGCAAGGCUGAAACUUAAAGGAAUUGGCGGGGGAGCACUACAACGGGUGGAGCCUGCGGUUC
RNAcentral lists this ribosomal RNA (877 nucleotides) under uncultured archaeon. RNAcentral describes it as "bacterial SSU rRNA". It matches the Rfam family "Archaeal small subunit ribosomal RNA", at positions 21 to 903 of the family's 1478-position model. The record is from RNAcentral.